CCUACGGGAGGCAGCAGUGAGGAAUAUUGGUCAAUGGCCGGAAGGCUGAACCAGCCAUGCCGCGUGAAGGUCAGUGCCCUAUGGGCGUUAAACUUCUUUUGUGCGGGAGCAAUAAUGGUCAUGUGUGGCCAGACGAGAGUACCGUACGAAUAAGCAUCGGCUAACUGCGGGCCAGCAGCCGCUGGAAUACGGGGGGUGCAAGCGUUAUCCGGAAUUAUUGGGUUUUAAGGGUGCGUAGGCUGGGAGGUAAGUUAGCGGGGAAAUGCCCCCGCGCAACGGGGUGAAGUGCCUUUGAUACUGCCUUGCUGGAGUGCGGAUGCGGUGGGAGGAAUGUGAGGUGUAGCGGUGAAAUGCGUAGAUA
Molecule: ribosomal RNA, 361 nt
Filed under: uncultured bacterium
Lineage: Bacteria
Description: partial 16S ribosomal RNA
Rfam family: Bacterial small subunit ribosomal RNA
Source: RNAcentral